Molecule: long non-coding RNA, 6911 nt
Filed under: Capsicum annuum
Lineage: Eukaryota; Viridiplantae; Streptophyta; Magnoliopsida; Solanales; Solanaceae
Description: long non-coding RNA (CANN_LNC012731)
Source: RNAcentral
UGCUAUGUUUGGAAUACAAUUUUGAAAACAAAAGAGAGAGUUAUAAAUGUUGAAUAUACAUAUAAUGAAAGAGUGCAUAAUUUUGCCAAAAGCACAUGACCACCAUAUGUUUGAUGAAAGUUUUUGCAUGGUUUUGACUUGAGUUUCGGAACAUGAAAUCUUUUAUGCAAGUUACAUGUUUGGGUGGUCUAAAACUAUACUUUUAUGAAAGAUCAUGCUUAAUGCAUUAUGGCUCAGAAAUAGGACUUGCAAGUCUUGGUAUGACGAUACCAACUCAGACAAAUGCCAUAACAUACACAGACUUGUUCAGAAAUCAAAUUUUAUUAGACUUUCAUUAUUUUAAAACUUCAGAAUAAUAUAUAUUCAGAAAAGGUUAAAAUUUGGGCAUAAAGAGAUGUUAGGUGGUCUCCGAAGAAGGCGUGAGUUCAGACAACUCAUUGCCUAAAAUCGUGAUUUACUGAUCCGGGUAUAUUAUUAUAUGCUGGCUUAAGUGCCGUGUGGCCUAUCAGACUCAAACACUCUAACCGUUGUGGCACACUUGGGUUGGGGGCUUCCCCGCCGAUUCAAUGGUGGAUUCCAUAUAGCCCGUGGAAUAUCAUACUUGUACGGGAGUGCCACCUAACUCAGAAGUAAUACAAAGAUCAGAAAUUGUUUUGACAAGAAUGUCUUAUGAUUUUCGGGUGAUGCUCAUGUGUUUUCAAAAACUAUUUUAUUCAUGAUGUAUUGAUGAAAACUGCUCUAAUCUAUUAUAUAUAUGUUCAAAUACUUUAUUUUGGAUAGCUUCACGUACCAAUACAUUUGUGUUGACCCCCCCUCCUUCCAGGUUUUGAGACACAGUCUAGGGGUCGAGAUGAAUAGUAGGUAUUUCAGAUCAUAGAGAAGAUUGUGCAGGAGUGAGCCUUCUAUAUUCUAGAAGGCCUGUUUACCUUCAGAUAUUUAUCUUUUGUCAUGUUUUGGUCUACUGGGGGCCUUGUCCCAAUUUUCAGAUAGUUUUAUUUAGUUCAUAAUAGAGAUAUCGCAGACUGAGUCAGACAUUAUUAUUAUCCAAAUAUAUUUUGGAUUUUAAUUUUUUAGUAUUAUAAUCGCAUUUAGACUGACCAUGUAUUCGUAUUAGAUUUCUAUUUCUGCAUUAUCUUUUAUUAUAUGAAUGUGGUGCAUGAUUACCAGAUAGAUAGAGGGUGUCCUGGGCCUUCACAAUUCAGGAAUGCUCGUCAUGGCCAGGUCCCCAAUUUGGGUCAUGACAACUUGGUUUCAAAGCACGGUUCGUGGUCCUAGGGUGUCGACAAAAUCGAGUCAGGUAGAGUCUUGUUUAUGGGUUUGUAGCGCGCCACACUUAUAAGUAGAUGACUACUAGGCAUUUAGGAAUGUCUCUCUUUCUUCAUGUUCUAAUUCGUGCAAUUUAAUCAGAAUGUUUCUCUUUUAUACUCUAAUUCAUGCUAUGGUGUCACCCAUACGAAAGUAAAAAAUCAUCCCAAAUUUUUUUCUUACUCUAAUAUCCUCAGAUAUGUCUCAUUAUUGAGGUGAUUCAAGUGCAGAAGUUUAGAAUCUAAAUGGUAUGGUCCUUUCUGAUUGAACCAUAUAAGAGUUUAAAUUUGUGCAAGGACUUGAGAAGAGUUUUUUAGUACUUCAAUGUGUAUGGAUUCCUAUGUAAACAUUGAUCUUGAUGGAAUCGUGCUUUUCAGCUUGAGGUAUUAAUUGCAUUUAGUCCUCUUCAAAUUUCUGUUACAAAUGUCUUGCUUAAGGGAGAAUGAUGUGUAGUAGAAUGUUGGAGCUGUAUUUCCACCCGAAUAGUAGUAGGCGUUAAAGUGUUGUUGUCAUGAACUAUUGGUAGUGGAAUUAGACCAAGAAGUUGGUGCUGUGAAGUCACAAAGUUAGAAGUCAGAGAGAGGAUGACUUUUUGUGUAAAUGAAUAUUUUAGUUGAAUAACCAAUGUUCGAGAAUGAUUUACCCCCCUUAUGGUGAUAGACUAAUGUGGUAACUAGUAGCAUGUAUGGAUGGUAUGGUAGUCCAUGGAGGAAGUGUUUGACUCCGAUUUUAUUUAUACAGAGUAAGAUGUGUAUUCUUAGUUCAUUGGAUAUUGCGUAUUGAAUUUCUAUCUCAUGUAAUCUUGUCAUCAAGGUGUUGUUGAAAAAAAUAAAGUCUAGUGAAGCCGUGUGGGGCUAUUUUGAUUCACUAGCAUAGUUGACUUGUCAUUCAUCUCAUUUUCUUGUUCAAAAUACAAAAUCAAAGUCUAGUGGCGCCGUGUGAUGCCUAUUUCGAUUCACUAGCAACUUGUUGUUCUUGUGUUGGUUUUAUCUAUGUAUAGCUGAAUUUGUUUGCAUGAGAUUGAGUUGGUAAAGAGGUGAUUCUUCUUUGUGUGUUAGUUUAGUAGAAGGUAGAGAAGGAGUUGUUAGUUAGGGUGAUUUGUCGGUUGCUUUAAGUGUGAAAAUGGCAAUAUUAGCCAGUAAGUUGUAAGUAUAGACUCAUGGUUGUUUGUGGAAUUUGAAGGUAGUCUAAAUGUAUGCUUGGGUAAGUAAGCGUGAUGUGAGAAGCCGUAGAAGUAGAUAAGGGUUGUAUGGGGUUAUAGUAUAGGAUUAAUGUCAAUCAUGUCUAUUAUGUGACUUUACCCCUUGACCUUCUUUCCUUGGUAGUUGCAAACUAGUACUACUUGUGAGAAGGUAUGUAGUAGAUUUUUGAGGUAUAGUAGUAAUGUCAUAAAGGUGCUUUGGUUGUGGAUAAUAUCUAGAUAAAAUCAGGUAUUUGGGUUAGAAUGUCCCAAUUUGAUCGACUAGUAAAUUAUGUUGUAUACUUCAUGGGUGGUAUUUACUAAAUAAAACAAGUAUUAGCUGAUACCUAUGAUGCCUUACAACAUGUAUUUAUAGUACCUAAAAGUCCGUAAGUCAACAAGGUACAACAAUGCAAGCUAUACAAUUAUAAACUACAAGCUGAAAAUCUGAAAAUCCUGCUCAUGCAUGCCGAAAUUUCUGCACAGGCAUGCCAACCUUUGUGGACCUUUUAAAGCUGGAAAAUCUGCACUUUCAUACCAGCACGUGUGAACUUCCUAAAGUCUAAUAAAUGUGCUGCCAGCCUAUUUUGACCAUCUAGAAGGUGCUGGAACAUUGGCAGCAAUGCGGGGCAUUUAUCGAAGCCCCACCAAGCUCGAAAACGCCCCCUAAUAGUCCGAAACAUGCCCAAAAUGUGAGGAGUUUAAUGGGUUGUGAUGUUGAGUGUCACAAUGUGGUUGUAAAAAUAGUGACCUAAGAUUAAUGAUGUAUGUUUUGUAAGAAUUAUGUAUAAGGUUGGGUUGUAAAUCAUGUUUAGCACUAGACAUUAAGUUUGAACAAUUGAUGUCCAUGAAGGUGGAUGUGAUGAUUUCUUGGUUAAUAAUACUAGUUUUAUGGAAGUAAUCUAAUAGACUUGAAUGGUAUAUGCAAGAGCCUAAGUUUAUUUGAUUCAUAGUGAAGUAUGAUGUCGUAUAUAUAAUGUAGAAGUGUUCCCAAGGUGAUCUGAGGUUGCGAUAUUUUCUAAGACUAUUACACGUUUUGUGCAACGAGUGGUACCAUUGAGUUUCUAGGUGGAGAAAUACUAGUUUAAUGGUAUAUGGUGUUCUAAAUAGCCAAGUUAAGGAGUUUUGAUUGAUAGUGUUGAGCCUUUUUAUAUGAUCUUGAUUCUCAUAGUAGAGAGAUAUAAGUUUGGAGGCGUGAUAUUGGUAGGCUAUGUAGGAAGUAGUAUGAUUAAUUGAAGGCUUGGUGAUAUCCAUGUUGAGUGCUAGAUUCUAAGUUUGAGUUUUUGAAGGUUGAACUAAUAGAAAUAAGAGUUAAAGCACUAGAGGGUGUGCACUCCGACUAUGGGGAUACUCAUGAAGACCCGAAGUUAGUAAGUGUGCAAGUAUUAUAUAAUGACUGCUGGUUCUAUAGAAUGAUAAAGUGUAUCUCAGAAGGUAGUAUUAACAGUGGGUUUUCCACUUUCAGAUGUAGUCAUUCGGGUUAAGUGCCAUGAUAUGCGUGUAUAGUAGUUUUCCAGACCCCAUAGUGUAGUGAGUGUACUUCAGUUUUGAGUCUAGUAAGGGAUCUCUUAAACUUAAUAUGAUGGAUUGAAGCUAAGGGGGAGAUGAUAGAGCGAAUAACCAAUUCAGGCUUUCAGAUUCUAGUCGUGAUGUCAUGAUGAUAUAGAACGUCAGAAAGUGAGGGUGAGACUCAACCCAUUCUUAUCUUAGUAUUUUUUUUCUAGUUAUCCCAAUAUCUACUCAUGCCUUACGCUUCAGUCCAAUGAUCAAAAUUCAUGUUCAUGCUUAUGAUAGAGAAUCAUGUACUCUUCAAGUUCCAAAAUAAGAAGUUUCAGUUCAUUCAGUAGUCGGAAUCCCAUUCCAUAAGUUAUGAACUCCGAAUUGAGGUCAUGUAGCUCAUGACUCAUGUAAUCACGCUUUAUAGUAUGCUUGUCUUAGAUAAGACCAUAAGUAUGAAAUAAGAUCUGGGGCCAAGUUUUUGAUAUAUGUGAUGGUUAGUGAAAAUUUAUGUGUGUAUGUUCUUGGGGUAGCGCAUGGGAGUUCUAUUAAUAGUGGUUUAGAGAAUAUGUGAAGUGUGUUUUCAUGGGUAUUUGCCUUGAAGUUCAUAUGAGGUUAUAAAGAUAGGCUUGAAUGACAUGUUGGGAUUUUAGUGAAGGGACACAAUAUGCGCUAGUGAAUCUAUAGUAAGAGUUCAGAGUUAGUCAUUAAUGUGGGAAGUCAUGAUAUGCCUAGGGUGUGAACUUUAAAAAGAUAUGGAAGAUUGAAUCAUAUUGUUUAGACUGGUAUUAUGGUAUGACAUGUUGUAUUUUUGUCACUUGGAGUUAGGCUUGAUCGCAGUGAAAGGAUUUAAGCUACUAUAGACAUUGUAGAAAGAGCUAUCAAUGCCCAUAUGAGAAUUAUAAGUUGAAUGGAAUGAAUAUGGUAUUUAAGGGAAAUAGUAUAGUUAAGGGAGUAUUAAAGAAGUGUACUAAGCUUGAAAAACAAGAAGUUGCAUUGUCCAAGAUCUUUUCCUUCAUAAUGCUACUAGAAUUUCUUUAGACAGAGUGUUGAAGAGAUACUCCCGUUGAAUAUAAGUUUUCGGUGUAUGUCAGUUUAGCAAUGAAGCAGACAAGUUACGGUGGUUUUUCACCUUUUCACCCAAUCCUUCUAUCCGAAGUCUCAUGCGUAUGACCAUCCCAAGAGAUUAUGUAUUUUAUCCUAAGUUGCAAAUUCAGUUCAGUCAAAGCAUCAUGUUUUAGAUUCAGCUAUUUAGUCCAGACUCAGUUCAUAAGUGUUCAGUGCAUAAUCUCAAAUACUUCCAAAUAUUUUAGCCCAGCUAGUAUAAUACCCUGGUACAAUCUAAGUCUUGAUGCAUCAUGAUUCAUAAUUGCAUAAUUUAUCACUUCUCAAUUCAAUAUGUAUGAUUGGAUCAUGAACACUUCAAGGGAAUCCUAAACUCUUAGCAUGAAUCAGCUUCUUGAAGCAAGUAAGGGCAACUCAACUCAGAAUUCAAUUUCGUGAUACAAGUUAAAUAUUUCAGAUCAGUUAUAUACUUUUUUAGAAGACACAUCAUGUCAGCUUCAUUCUAUACCUUUGAGCUUCAAUAUUUCCAAUACAGCAUUCAAGGACGAAUGAUCCCAAGGGGGAGAUAAUGUAACACCCCGUAAAAGUCGUGCAUGGAUUAGCCUUUCAUAGAGUGCUCUUAGACUUAAAAACUUGAAAAUUUUUUGAAGUGUAAUGAGGACUUAGAGUCAUUUUAGCUGGCAAUCUUUGGGAUACAACUUUUAAACCUUUUGGACCUCCAUUUUUAGAUUUUCAAGUUGCGUUACAAUUGGACAACCUCAUAGUACAUCUCGGAUAAGUUUCGGAAUUUUUCGGAACGCAUAAGGCUGCAUUUGGAUUUCAAAAUAGUAGCAAAAAGCAUAGCCUGUUGCCCAUUUUUCAGCAUUUCAGGGUCAACUUCAAAAGAUCAUAACUCUCUCAAUAUAAUGAACUGGGAGAGCUGAUACCUAUAAAAUAAAAACUCUUUGAGUUUUAUUUCCAAUGAAACUAGUUUUAUCAAAAUCCAACAUCUGAGUAAGGAUUUAUACCUAUUUUACUUCAGCCUGUCAGUUUAUCAACUAAGGGAUAGUUUCGACUUUUUUUUGUUUUCUUAGGGUAUUUUAGUCAUUUCACCUCACCCAAAUUUCGUCUAUAACACCAAAUUUAGCCCCCAAUUCAUCAAAAUAUAAUCCUUUUCUCAAAUUUUCUCUCAAGAACACCCCUUAGGGUUUCAAACAAAAAUCUCAAAUAACUCAAGAUUCAACCUUGGGUUUUGGAAGAUAAUUAGAGAUUUGGAAUCCCCACAACGUAGGCUUCAAGGAUCAUCCCUCAAUUUCUUAAAUAGAGGUACGCGGGAUUUUCCUAAAUUCUCAUGGGCAUACAACUCAUGCUUUAAGAAAGGUGUUUUUGAAUUCAUGUAUAUAUUCAUGUUUUAGAAGCUUUAAAUGAUAUUGUUUUAGCCUUUUGGCUUUCCCCCAAAGUGACUUGAAAAUUAUAUGUAUAUGUAUAUAUGUGUUUUGCCGUGAAAUAUGAAUUGAGGGCACGAUUUACAUGAAAUCCCUCUCUUGAUGUAAUUUUCCCAUAUUUCACAUAAUAUAGAUUGUUUUGAAAUACGUCUUGAAAAAUCAUGAUAUGAAAUGCUUUGACUUUGCUUUGUUUGGAAUACGAUUUUGAACACAAAAGAGAGGCUUGUGAAUAUUGAAUAUACAAAUAAUGAAAGAGGGCAUAAUUUUGCCAAAAGCACAUGACCACCAUAUGUUUGAUGAAAGUUUUUGCAUGGUUUUGACUUGAGUUUCGGAACAUGAAAUCUUUUAUGCAAAUUACAUGUUUGGGUGGUCUGAAACUACACUUUUAUGAAAUAUCAUGCUUAACCCAUUAUGGCUCAGAAAUAGGACUUGCAAGUCUU